RNAcentral lists this ribosomal RNA (406 nucleotides) under uncultured bacterium. RNAcentral's name for it is "partial 16S ribosomal RNA". It matches the Rfam family "Bacterial small subunit ribosomal RNA", at positions 30 to 526 of the family's 1533-position model. The record is from RNAcentral.
AUUGAACGCUGGCGGCAGGCCUAACACAUGCAAGUCGAACGAGUGGCGGACGGGUGAGUAAUGUCUGGGAAACUGCCUGAUGGAGGGGGAUAACUACUGGAAACGGUAGCUAAUACCGCAUACCAUCGGAUGUGCCCAGAUGGGAUUAGCUAGUAGGUGGGGUAACGGCUCACCUAGGCGACGAUCCCUAGCUGGUCUGAGAGGAUGACCAGCCACACUAGAACUGAGACACGGUCCAGACUCCUACGUGAGGCAGCAGGGGAGAAUAUUGCACAAUGGGCGCAAGCCUGAUGCAGCCAUGCCGCGUGUAUGAAGAAGUCCUUCGUGUUGUAAAGUACUUUCAGCGGGGAGGCGUUACCCGCAGAAGAAUCACCGGCUAACUCCGUUCCAGCCGCCGCGGUAAUUC